This is a long non-coding RNA of Cucumis sativus (cucumber), 708 nucleotides long. RefSeq lists it as uncharacterized. Lineage: Eukaryota; Viridiplantae; Streptophyta; Magnoliopsida; Cucurbitales; Cucurbitaceae. The record is from RefSeq and is a predicted model, not a curated record. The transcript is spliced from 2 exons.
CGUUACGUCCCUACCGCCCGUUAUUGCCUCAUCGAAAACGGGGAAAGCGAUAGUCCAGCCCACCCAGCGAACGGGCACAAGAGUAAGACCAGGUUAAUCAAUCCCACGGAAAAGUUCAAAUGGAGGAGUCGAAGACUGAGAUCAAAGGCUCUUCUUCAGAAAGAGAACCAAAAUCGCCCAAUAUUUUUGAGAGAGCGAAAGAAGAGAUAGAGGCUGUGAUCCACUGUAAUAAAUCCCCACGGCAUCACAAAGAAACACAUGGAAGAAGCGAUGAUAUUGACGAGACUACGCCUGCUGAUGAAGUAAAGGCCCCCGGAGUGUUUGGAAGAGUCAAGGAAGAGGUUGAGGCCCUCGUAGGAGCAAUUCAUCCCAAGAAGGAUUCUGGUAGUCAUUAGUUUCUUUAAAGCAAGGAAGAGGUUGACUCCAUGCUGUAAUAAGGUUUGCUUUCUUUUUUAGAUUCUUAGUUUCUUUUUAUUAUGCAACUCCAUGUCAUCUACCUUGUUCUUUGAAAACAUUAGCCGGAAAAUAACUGUUUGAAGAUUGACAUGAAAAUUGGACUAUGUUUGAUCUGUCUUGCAUUCUGUUUAAAGUAUGUAAUCAGCAUAGAAAGACCAUCUUGUAUCUUUGCAUUCCGAACUUUGUAUCUUAAGCUAUAGUCUCUUUUCAUUAUAUCAAUGAAAAGUUUGUUUCAGUAAAAAAAAAUAAAAA